GUGGGCUGUACCAGAAGUAGGUAGUCUAACCUUCGGGAGGACGCUUACCACGGUGUGGUUCAUGACUGGGGUGAAGUCGUAACAAGGUAGCCCUAGGGGAACCUGGGGCUGGAUCACCUCCUUUAAAGAAACCGGAAGAGAGAUCGUGAAAGCGCCCGCACAAUUUGCCCCAUCAUCGAACAUUCACCGCGGGUCUGUAGCUCAGUUGGUUAGAGCGCACCCCUGAUAAGGGUGAGGUCGGAAGUUCAAAUCUUCCCAGACCCACCACCUUCGCGCCCGUAGGAGCAACGAGGGAACAAGGGGCCAUAGCUCAGAUGGGAGAGCACCUGCUUUGCAAGCAGGGGGUCGGCGGUUCGAUCCCGCCUGGCUCCACCAGGUGGUAAACGGCGGCGGCAAUUUAACGCCGCCGUUUAUCCCCUGGCUCAGACGCCAAGGGACGUUCUUUUACAAUUUAGGUAGUGAUAUACGACGGUAAAGUCGGGACAUAUUUUGACGUCCGGACUUUGCUGGGUAUGCCAGCAUUUAUUAUGGUAGUUAUGACCUCGUUAAGAGCAA
Molecule: unclassified non-coding RNA, 555 nt
Filed under: uncultured Chromatiales bacterium
Lineage: Bacteria; Pseudomonadati; Pseudomonadota; Gammaproteobacteria; Chromatiales
Description: partial 16S-23S ribosomal RNA intergenic spacer
Rfam family: Bacterial small subunit ribosomal RNA (bases 1-124)
Source: RNAcentral